AUUGAACGCUGGCGGAAUGCUUUACACAUGCAAGUCGAACGGCAGCACGGGUGCUUGCACCUGGUGGCGAGUGGCGAACGGGUGAGUAAUACAUCGGAACGUACCCAGUUAUGGGGGAUAACUAACCGAAAGGUUAGCUAAUACCGCAUACGCCCUGAGGGGGAAAGCGGGGGACCGUAAGGCCUCGCGUAAUUGGAGCGGCCGAUGUCUGAUUAGCUAGUUGGUGAGGUAAAGGCUCACCAAGGCGACGAUCAGUGGCAGGUCUGAGAGGAUGAUCUGCCACACUGGAACUGAGACACGGUCCAGACUCCUACGGGAGGCAGCAGUGGGGAAUUUUGGACAAUGGGCGAAAGCCUGAUCCAGCCAUUCCGCGUGCAGGAUGAAGGCCCUCGGGUUGUAAACUGCUUUUGUACAGAACGAAAAGGUUUCUACUAAUACUAGGAGCUCAUGACGGUACUGUAAGAAUAAGCACCGGCUAACUACGUGCCAGCAGCCGCCGUAA
RNAcentral lists this ribosomal RNA (502 nucleotides) under uncultured bacterium. RNAcentral's name for it is "partial 16S ribosomal RNA". It matches the Rfam family "Bacterial small subunit ribosomal RNA", at positions 30 to 523 of the family's 1533-position model. The record is from RNAcentral.